GACGAACGCUGGCGGCGUGCUUAACACAUGCAAGUCGAACGGAAAGGCCCUGCUUUUGUGGGGUGCUCGAGUGGCGAACGGGUGAGUAACACGCGAGUAACCUGCCCUUGACUUUGGGAUAACUUCAGGAAACUGGGGCUAAUACCGGAUAGGAGCUCCUGCUGCAUGGUGGGGGUUGGAAAGUUUCGGCGGUUGGGGAUGGACUCGCGGCUUAUCAGCUUGUUGGUGGGGUAGUGGCUUACCAAGGCUUUGACGGGUAGCCGGCCUGAGAGGGUGACCGGCCACAUUGGGACUGAGAUACGGCCCAGACUCCUACGGGAGGCAGCAGUGGGGAAUAUUGCACAAUGGGUGGAAGCCUGAUGCAGCAACGCCGUGUGCGGGAUGACGGCCUUCGGGUUGUAAACCGCUUUCGCUCAUGACGAAGCUUUGUGUGACGGUAGUGGGUAAAGAAGCACCGGCUAACUACGUG
This 469-nucleotide ribosomal RNA is filed under the name uncultured bacterium. Its description in RNAcentral is "partial 16S ribosomal RNA". It matches the Rfam family "Bacterial small subunit ribosomal RNA", at positions 28 to 507 of the family's 1533-position model. The record is from RNAcentral.